CAGGGUAGGUAGGGGUGCGGCGGCGGUGAGGAGGCUUAGGAGGAGCUAAAGGGGUAGCCGGUUAGGGUGGCGUCGGAGGAGGAAGGAGCUAGAAGGGACGGUGGGUCAGGGCAGCUAGGUGGGUAGAUGGCUAGGGGUGGUUGGUCUCUAGGGGAGCCGGGAGGAGCUGGUCGUCGUUGGUCCUCGAGCUAGAGGAAGAGGGUUCGGGCGCGCGGGUUCCUUUGCGUGCUCCGACACGGAGGAACAGGGGCGCGGAGACGGAGCGGCCACCAACGGUCGGUGGGUUCGUCGUCGUCGUCAGGCCUCGAGGCGGAGGAGAGCGCUCGCGGGGAAGUCGGUAGGUCAGGUCGUCUACUCGGGGGCGCGGGAGAGGGAGCCAGGGAGGAAGAGAAGGAAGAAAGAGACUUAGAGAGAGAGGGAGGGAAGAAGUCCAAUGUCGUUGUCGCGGUACCUACGGCGGGGUUCGAAGCAGCGGCCAGCGAAGGCACGGCAAGGCCACUGGGUCGUGUGACCACAGGGCGCUGACCUAGGCAGUUCGAGGCGGGGAGCGGUCCGGAGCAAGCGACGCGGCGGAGCGUCCGGGAGACGAGAGGGCGCGGAGCAGGGGCUGUGGCCGUUUAAGCGGCGGCGGUCCUGGAACGGAGCGGCCUAAGCGGGGGGUGGCGGCCCUUAGCCAAGGGCUGCCGGAGGCGGGAGGGACGGCAGCAGGCGCGGUUCAGGGACGGCGGCGGGACGCAGGGGACGAAGGGCAGCGCUCGAGGUCGCGGCGACAAGGGACGACGCCACAAGGAAGAAGUCUUUGCUUGUCUUGUCGAGCCCUUGCUUGCGAGCUGGCGCACGCAACUGGCGCGUGCGCACCUGUACUCCGGAGCUAGCGUGAGGUCGUUCCGGGCCAACGCGGGGGGGUCGGCUGAGGGAGGUGUCUGGGUCGGCCCGGUCGAACGAGACGAGGUUCCGGGUCGGGGUUCGGUCGGCCGGACAACCGGGCUAAAGGCCAUUACAACGCUAACACUCCUAAGUAAGCUGAUGAGGGCAAGCAGAAGAAGUACCUGAGCAAGAAGAAGGAACGUCCUAAAGUCAAACGUCCACAGCUACAAUGGCUCGUCCACUGCGUUGGUUCGAGUUCCUCCUCGAGCUACUUCUAGAACGGGAAACACAACAAAGCAAGAUCAACUAGUCAUCACCUCGGGUCAACCCCAGCUAGCCCCUGGAAACAGCGUAAACCCCAAGAAGAAAAUAAAACCAAGGCAUCAGCCUGGAACUAACAUAGACCUACUACAUUACGAAAUAAGUACAUUAACACACUUCACCGCUAACAUUCGGUUGAUACAUAGAAAAGGG
Molecule: ribosomal RNA, 1341 nt
Filed under: Triticum aestivum (bread wheat)
Lineage: Eukaryota; Viridiplantae; Streptophyta; Magnoliopsida; Poales; Poaceae
Description: partial small subunit ribosomal RNA
Source: RNAcentral